GCCAGCCGUAGAUUGUGAUCGGAGCUCUNACAACUAACUGCAGCCUCGGGAGAGAAAACGGGGGAGACGAGGAGGGGGAGAGGAGUGCAGGAAAACCGUGGGACCGGCGGACCCCAGAGAAACAUGGCUAACACCGUAUAAUAGCCUCGGCUCAAAGAGGGGGACCUUCCGGCCUCUCCUCGUCAUGAAAUGCCCCGGUGGGAUUAGCUAGUUGGUGAGGGAAUGGCUCACCAAGGCGACGAUCCCUAGCUGGUCUGAGAGGAUGAUCAGCCUCACUGGAACUGACACACGGUCCAGACUCCUACGGGAGGUUGCCGUGGGGAAUAUUGCACAAUGGGCGCAAGCCUGAUGCUACCCUUCCGCCUGUGUGAAGAAUGCCUUUGGGUUGUUCAGCACUUUCAGUAUUUGGAAGGUGGUGUCCUAAUUUUUUGUUCGUUUGACCCUACCUGCAAAAAAAGCCCCCUCUAACUCCGUGCCAGCAUACCGGUAAUACUGAGGGUGCGAGCCUUUAUCCUAUUUACCGGGCSUWAAGCGCAUGCAGGUGKUUAGUUAAKUYARAUGUSAMAGCCCGGGGCUCMACCUCRGAWCUGCAUUUGAAACUGGCUGACUAGAGUACUGUAGAGGGGGGUAGAAUUUYAGGUGKAGCGRUGAMAUGCSUARAGAUCUGAAKGAAUACCGGUGGCGAAKGCSGCCCCCUGGACAGAUACUGACACUCAGMUGCSAAAGCSUGGSGAGCAAACAGGAUUAKAUACCCUGGUAGYCCACGCCSKAAACSAUGUCUACUUGGAGGUUGUGGCCUUGAGCCGUGGCUUUCGGAGCUAACGCGUUAAGUAGACCGCCUGGGGAGUACGGUCGCAAGAUUAAAACUCAAAUGAAUUGACGGGGGCCCGCACAAGCGGUGGAGCAUGUGGUUUAAUUCGAUGCAACGCGAAGAACCUUACCUACUCUUGACAUCCUCAGAAGAGACUGGAGACAGUCUUGUGCCUUCGGGAACUGAGAGACAGGUGCUGCAUGGCUGUCGUCAGCUCGUGUUGUGAAAUGUUGGGUUAAGUCCCGCAACGAGCGCAACCCUUAUCCUUGUUUGCCAGCACUUCGGGUGGGAACUCCAGGGAGACUGCCGGUGAUAAACCGGAGGAAGGUGGGGACGACGUCAAGUCAUCAUGGCCCUUACGAGUAGGGCUACACACGUGCUACAAUGGCGCAUACAGAGGGCGGCCAACUUGCGAAAGUGAGCGAAUCCCAAAAAGUGCGUCGUAGUCCGGAUUGGAGUCUGCAACUCGACUCCAUGAAGUCGGAAUCGCUAGUAAUCGUGGAUCAGAAUGCCACGGUGAAUACGUUCCCGGGCCUUGUACACACCGCCCGUCACACCAUGGGAGUGGUAUGCAAAAGAAGUGGGUAGUUUAUACAGUCGUGGAGGACGUAUCACGCNGAGU
Molecule: ribosomal RNA, 1433 nt
Filed under: Vibrio sp. 5-1
Lineage: Bacteria; Pseudomonadati; Pseudomonadota; Gammaproteobacteria; Vibrionales; Vibrionaceae
Description: partial 16S rRNA
Rfam family: Bacterial small subunit ribosomal RNA
Source: RNAcentral